CUGGCGGCGUGCUUAACACAUGCAAGUCGAGCGAGAAACUACAUGCAGACACUUCGGUAGAAGCGAGUAGCGGAAAGCGGCGGACGGGUGAGUAACGCGUAGGCAACCUGCCCUUCACAGAGGUAUAGCCUCGGGAAACCGGGAUUAAAACCACAUAAAAUCAUAGGUUCGCAUGAACCAAAGGUCAAAGAUUUAUCGGUGAAGGAUGGGCCUGCGUCUGAUUAGCUGGUUGGUAGGGUAAAAGCCUACCAAGGCGACGAUCAGUAGCCGACCUGAGAGGGUGAUCGGCCACAUUGGAACUGAGACACGGUCCAAACUCCUACGGGAGGCAGCAGUGGGGGAUAUUGCACAAUGGGGGAAACCCUGAUGCAGCAACGCCGCGUGAGGUAUGAAGGCCUUUGGGUUGUAAGCCUCUGUCCUAGGGGAAGAAAAAAAUGACGGUACCCGAGGAGGAAGCCCCGGCUAACUACGUGCCAGCAGCCGCGGU
Molecule: ribosomal RNA, 487 nt
Filed under: Eubacterium sp. oral clone BP1-24
Lineage: Bacteria; Bacillati; Bacillota; Clostridia; Eubacteriales; Eubacteriaceae
Description: bacterial SSU rRNA
Rfam family: Bacterial small subunit ribosomal RNA
Source: RNAcentral